UACGAAGGGGGCUAGCGUUGUUCGGAUUUACUGGGCGUAAAGCGCACGUAGGCGGAUCGUUAAGUCGGGGGUGAAAUCCUGGAGCUCAACUCCAGAACUGCCUUCGAUACUGGCGAUCUCGAGUCCGGAAGAGGUGAGUGGAACUCCUAGUGUAGAGGUGGAAUUCGUAGAUAUUGGGAAGAACACCGGUGGCGAAGGCGGCGACCUGGUCCGAUACUGACGCUGAGGCGCGAAAGCGUGGGGAGCAAACAGG
RNAcentral lists this ribosomal RNA (253 nucleotides) under uncultured bacterium. RNAcentral's name for it is "partial 16S ribosomal RNA". It matches the Rfam family "Bacterial small subunit ribosomal RNA", at positions 524 to 776 of the family's 1533-position model. The record is from RNAcentral.